Molecule: ribosomal RNA, 253 nt
Filed under: uncultured prokaryote
Description: partial 16S ribosomal RNA
Rfam family: Bacterial small subunit ribosomal RNA
Source: RNAcentral
ACGUAGGGGACGAGCGUUGUCCGGAUUCAUUGGGCGUAAAGCGUGCGCAGGCGGUGAUGUAAGACAGUUGUGAAAUCCCCGGGCUCAACCUGGGAACUGCAUCUGUGACUGCAACGCUGGAGUGCGGCAGAGGGGGAUGGAAUUCCGCGUGUAGCGGUGAAAUGCGUAGAUAUGCGGAGGAACACCGAUGGCGAAGGCAAUCCCCUGGGCCUGCACUGACGCUCAUGCACGAAAGCGUGGGGAGCAAACAGGA